UAGUCAUAUGCUUGUCUCAAAGAUUAAGCCAUGCAUGUCUAAGUAUAAGCAAUCUAUACGGGGAAACUGCAAAUGGCUCAUUAAAUCAGUUAUCGUUUAUUUGAUAGUACCUUACUACUUGGAUAACCGGGGUAAUUCUAGAGCUAAUACAUGCUAAAAACCCCGACUUCGGAAGGGGUGUAUUUAUUAAAUAAAAAACCAAGGCCCUUCGGGGCUCCUUGGUGAUUCAUAAUAACUUAACAAAUCGCAUGGCCUUGUGCCGGCAAUGGUUCAUUCAAAUUUCUGCCCUAUCAACUUUCGAUUGUAAGGUAGGGGCUUACAAUGGUUUCAACGGGUAACGGGAAAUUAGGGUUCUAUUCCGGAAAGGGAGCCUGAAAAACGGCUACCACAUCCAAGGAAGGCAGCAGGCGCGCAAAUUACCCAAUCCCGACACGGGGAGGUAGUGACAAUAAAUACUGAUACAGGGCUCUUUUGGGUCUUGUAAUUGGAAUGAGUACAAUUUAAAUCCCUUAACAAGGAACAAUU
Molecule: ribosomal RNA, 525 nt
Filed under: uncultured eukaryote
Lineage: Eukaryota
Description: SSU rRNA
Rfam family: Eukaryotic small subunit ribosomal RNA
Source: RNAcentral